CUCGUUUCGAUUUAUUUGCUUUUAUAUAUAAAUAUAAAUAUGGAUUUACUAUGAAAUGAACCUUGAAAGGUUUAAAAAUCUACUAAUGGAAAAUUGGGAACCAGAUUAAUUUCUAUGAUAUACAGUCUAUGCACUUCGUUGCUCGUUGGAAGUUGGCCAUGUGUUCUGACCUUGUCAAAACCCUACGAUAAGGUGAUUACAAUCGAUUAUAUAUUUGUUUUAUAAUCCCAUAUAGUAGUGACAUCUACAGUACAAAAUCAAUGUUUGUGGACUGUGGUUUUUGUUUUACCUAGCCAAUUACUUUGGCAAGAUAAGAUAUUGAUUUGAUUGUGUUUACUGUACGCAGGCACAAUGUAAAUAUAAGCUCUAUAUAUAAAACAAUAUCGAGUUUCUGGCUGGUUUAUAUCUAGAUGGGAUACAUUUUAAACUCAAGGGCGUAAUAGGGGGGGGGGGGCAUAUUCAUGUUCACAGAGCGUUAGAACAAUCGCUUUCAAAAGAAAUGAAUGAUGCAGAAUACAAAUAUAUGAAUAUCACCCACCCCCCAUAUCAACUAAAG
Molecule: non-coding RNA, 556 nt
Organism: Paramuricea clavata
Lineage: Eukaryota; Metazoa; Cnidaria; Anthozoa; Malacalcyonacea; Plexauridae
Source: the annotation of a GenBank genome assembly